RNAcentral lists this unclassified non-coding RNA (169 nucleotides) under uncultured Ceratobasidiaceae. Its description in RNAcentral is "sequence contains ITS1". Lineage: Eukaryota; Fungi; Basidiomycota; Agaricomycetes; Cantharellales; Ceratobasidiaceae. The record is from RNAcentral.
UAGAAUGAAUCUAGAGUUGGUUGUUGCUGGCCUCUCUUCCUGAGGCAUGUGCACACCUUCUCUUUCAUCCACACACACCUGUGCACUUGUGAGAUGGAGGGCUGGAUUUUCCUUCCAUCUACUAUUACACAAACUCAACUGAAUGUAAUUGAUGUAACACAUCUAAUAC